UACUCCUACGGGAGGCAGCAGUGAGGAAUAUUGGACAAUGGGGGAAACCCUGAUCCAGCAAUGCCGCGUGAGUGAAGAAGGCCUUAGGGUUGUAAAGCUCUUUCGCCCGUGACGAUGAUGACGGUAACGGGAGAAGAAGCCCCGGCUAAUUCCGUGCCAGCAGCCGCGGUAAU
This 173-nucleotide ribosomal RNA is filed under the name uncultured bacterium. RNAcentral's name for it is "partial 16S ribosomal RNA". It matches the Rfam family "Bacterial small subunit ribosomal RNA", at positions 334 to 524 of the family's 1533-position model. The record is from RNAcentral.